GACGAACGCUGGCGGCGUGCUUAACACAUGCAAGUCGAACGGAAAGGCCCUGCUUUUGUGGGGUGCUCGAGUGGCGAACGGGUGAGUAACACGUGAGUAACCUGCCCUUGACUUUGGGAUAACUUCAGGAAACUGGGGCUAAUACCGGAUAGGAGCUCCUGCUGCAUGGUGGGGGUUGGAAAGUUUCGGCGGUUGGGGAUGGACUCGCGGCUUAUCAGCUUGUUGGUGGGGUAGUUGCUUACCAAGGCUUUGACGGGUAGGCGGCCUGAGAGGGUGACCGGCCACAUUGGGACUGAGAUACGGCCCAGACUCCUACGGGAGGCAGCAGUGGGGAAUAUUGCACAGUGGGCGGAAGCCUGAUGCAGCAACGCCGCGUGCGGGAUGACGGCCUUCGGGUUGUAAACCGCUUUCGCCUGUGACGAAGCGUGAGUGACGGUAAUGGGUAAAGAAGCACCGGCUAACUACGUG
RNAcentral lists this ribosomal RNA (468 nucleotides) under uncultured bacterium. Its description in RNAcentral is "partial 16S ribosomal RNA". It matches the Rfam family "Bacterial small subunit ribosomal RNA", at positions 28 to 507 of the family's 1533-position model. The record is from RNAcentral.